This 765-nucleotide ribosomal RNA is filed under the name Staphylococcus aureus. Its description in RNAcentral is "bacterial SSU rRNA". It matches the Rfam family "Bacterial small subunit ribosomal RNA", at positions 1 to 757 of the family's 1533-position model. The record is from RNAcentral. Lineage: Bacteria; Bacillati; Bacillota; Bacilli; Caryophanales; Staphylococcaceae.
AAGAGUUUUGAUAUGCUCAGGAUGAACGCUGGCGGCGUGCUAAUACAUGCAAGUCGAGCGAACGGACGAGAAGCUUGCUUCUCUGAUGUUAGCGGCGGACGGGUGAGUAACACGUGGAUAACCUACCUAUAAGACUGGGAUAACUUCGGGAAACCGGAGCUAAUACCGGAUAAUAUUUUGAACCGCAUGGUUCAAAAGUGAAAGACGGUCUUGCUGUCACUUAUAGAUGGAUCCGCGCUGCAUUAGCUAGUUGGUAAGGUAACGGCUUACCAAGGCAACGAUGCAUAGCCGACCUGAGAGGGUGAUCGGCCACACUGGAACUGAGACACGGUCCAGACUCCUACGGGAGGCAGCAGUAGGGAAUCUUCCGCAAUGGGCGAAAGCCUGACGGAGCAACGCCGCGUGAGUGAUGAAGGUCUUCGGAUCGUAAAACUCUGUUAUUAGGGAAGAACAUAUGUGUAAGUAACUGUGCACAUCUUGACGGUACCUAAUCAGAAAGCCACGGCUAACUACGUGCCAGCAGCCGCGGUAAUACGUAGGUGGCAAGCGUUAUCCGGAAUUAUUGGGCGUAAAGCGCGCGUAGGCGGUUUUUUAAGUCUGAUGUGAAAGCCCACGGCUCAACCGUGGAGGGUCAUUGGAAACUGGAAAACUUGAGUGCAGAAGAGGAAAGUGGAAUUCCAUGUGUAGCGGUGAAAUGCGCAGAGAUAUGGAGGAACACCAGUGGCGAAGGCGACUUUCUGGUCUGUAACUGACGCUGAUGGCGAA